This 305-nucleotide ribosomal RNA is filed under the name uncultured bacterium. RNAcentral's name for it is "bacterial SSU rRNA". It matches the Rfam family "Bacterial small subunit ribosomal RNA", at positions 334 to 656 of the family's 1533-position model. The record is from RNAcentral.
UAAUCCUACGGGGCGCAGCAGUGGGGAAUAUUGCACAAUGGGGGAAACCCUGAUGCAGCGACGCCGCGUGAGCGAAGAAGUAUUUCGGUAUGUAAAGCUCUAUCAGCAGGGAAGAAAAUGACGGUACCUGACUAAGAAGCUCCGGCUAAAUACGUGCCAGCAGCCGCGGUAAUACGUAUGGAGCAAGCGUUAUCCGGAUUUACUGGGUGUAAAGGGAGCGCAGGCGGCUUUGCAAGUCUGAUGUGAAAGGCCGGGGCUCAACCCCGGGACUGCAUUGGAAACUGUAAAGUUAGAGUGCAGGAGGG